RNAcentral lists this ribosomal RNA (568 nucleotides) under Salmonella enterica subsp. enterica serovar Stanley. Its description in RNAcentral is "partial 23S ribosomal RNA". It matches the Rfam family "Bacterial large subunit ribosomal RNA", at positions 1 to 597 of the family's 2925-position model. The record is from RNAcentral. Lineage: Bacteria; Pseudomonadati; Pseudomonadota; Gammaproteobacteria; Enterobacterales; Enterobacteriaceae.
GGGUUGUGAGGUUAAGCGACUAAGCGUACACGGUGGAUGCCCUGGCAGUCAGAGGCGAUGAAGGGCGUGCUAAUCUGCGAUAAGCGCCGGUAAGGUGAUAUGAACCGUUAUAACCGGCGAUACCCGAAUGGGGAAACCCAGUGUGACUCGUCACACUAUCAUUAACUGAAUCCAUAGGUUAAUGAGGCGAACCGGGGGAACUGAAACAUCUAAGUACCCCGAGGAAAAGAAAUCAACCGAGAUUCCCCCAGUAGCGGCGAGCGAACGGGGAGGAGCCCAGAGCCUGAAUCAGCAUGUGUGUUAGUGGAAGCGUCUGGAAAGUCGCGCGAUACAGGGUGACAGCCCCGUACACAAAAGCGCAUGUGUUGUGAGCUCGAUGAGUAGGGCGGGACACGUGGUAUCCUGUCUGAAUAUGGGGGGACCAUCCUCCAAGGCUAAAUACUCCUGACUGACCGAUAGUGAACCAGUACCGUGAGGGAAAGGCGAAAAGAACCCCGGCGAGGGGAGUGAAAAAGAACCUGAAACCGUGUACGUACAAGCAGUGGGAGCACAGGUUUACCUGUGUGAC